RNAcentral lists this ribosomal RNA (449 nucleotides) under uncultured bacterium. RNAcentral describes it as "partial 16S ribosomal RNA". It matches the Rfam family "Bacterial small subunit ribosomal RNA", at positions 29 to 523 of the family's 1533-position model. The record is from RNAcentral.
AACGAACGCUGGCGGCAUGCCUAACACAUGCAAGUCGAACGAGAUCUUCGGGUCUAGUGGCGCACGGGUGCGUAACGCGUGGGAAUCUGCCCUUUGGUUCGGAAUAACAGUUGGAAACGACUGCUAAUGCCGGAUGAUGACGAAAGUCCAAAGAUUUAUCGCCAGAGGAUGAGCCCGCGUAGGAUUAGCUAGUUGGUGUGGUAAAGGCGCACCAAGGCGACGAUCCUUAGCUGGUCUGAGAGGAUGAUCAGCCACACUGGGACUGAGACACGGCCCAGACUCCUCCGGGAGGCAGCAGUGGGGAAUAUUGGACAAGGGGCGAAAGCCUGAUCCAGCAAUGCCGCGUGAGUGAUGAAGGCCUUAGGGUUGUAAAGCUCUUUUACCCGGGAUGAUAAUGACAGUACCGGGAGAAUAAGCUCCGGCUAACUCCGUGCCAGCCGCCGCCGUAA